CUGGUGACCAGCUGUAGAAAUACGGCCUUCCCGCAAGGGACACCAGUAUAGGCGCUGCAUGGCUGUCGUCAGCUCGUGCCGUGAGGUGUUGGGUUAAGUCCCGCAACGAGCGCAACCCUGCACACUGUUACUACUCGCAAGAGAGGGACUCGGUGUGGACUGCUCCGGAUAACGGAGAGGAAGGUGGGGAUGACGUCAAGUCCGCAUGGCCUUUAUGUCCAGGGCUACACACGUGUUACAAUGCAGGGUACAAACCGUUGCCAACCCGCGAGGGGGAGCUAAUCGGAAAAAACUCUGCUCAGUUCGGAUUGCAGUCUGCAACUCGACUGCAUGAAGCCGGAAUCGCUAGUAAUGGCGUAUCAGAUCGACGCCGUGAAUACGUUCCCGGGCCUUGUACACACCGCCCGUCACAUCACGAAAGUGAGCUGUACUAGAAGUCGCCGCGCGAACCGCAAGGACGCAAGCGCCCAAGGUAUGACUCAUGAUUGGGGUGAAGUCGUAACAAGGUAGGCGUAGUGCU
RNAcentral lists this ribosomal RNA (520 nucleotides) under uncultured bacterium. RNAcentral's name for it is "bacterial SSU rRNA". It matches the Rfam family "Bacterial small subunit ribosomal RNA", at positions 989 to 1509 of the family's 1533-position model. The record is from RNAcentral.